GAUGAACGCUGGCAGCGUGCCUAAUACAUGCAAGUCGAGCGAACAGAUGAGGAGCUUGCUCCUCUGACGUUAGCGGCGGACGGGUGAGUAACACGUGGAUAACCUACCUAUAAGACUGGGAUAACUUCGGGAAACCGGAGCUAAUACCGGAUAAUAUAUUGAACCGCAUGGUUCAAUAGUGAAAGACGGUUUUGCUGUCACUUAUAGAUGGAUCCGCGCCGCAUUAGCUAGUUGGUAAGGUAACGGCUUACCAAGGCAACGAUGCGUAGCCGACCUGAGAGGGGGAACGGCCACACAGGAACUGAGACACGGCCCAGACUCCUACGGGAGGCAGGAGUAGGGAAUCUUCCGAAAGGGGCGAAAGCCUGACGGAGCAACGCCGCGUGGGUGAAGAAGGUCUUCGGAUCGUAAAACUCUGUUAUUAGGGAAGAAAAAAUGUGUAAGUAACUAUGCACGUUUUGACGGUACCUAAUCAGAAAGCCACGGCUAACUACGU
This 496-nucleotide ribosomal RNA is filed under the name uncultured bacterium. RNAcentral describes it as "partial 16S ribosomal RNA". It matches the Rfam family "Bacterial small subunit ribosomal RNA", at positions 28 to 506 of the family's 1533-position model. The record is from RNAcentral.